AAUUAUUUGAGAAUAUGGCCUUCAACAGACAUGUACAAAAAAAGGACAAGACCUCUGGGUGGCCCUAGGUCAAGCUAGAGCCACCAUUGGCACAUGUGAGAUGCAGGAAGUGAGGUAGAGAACAGCCUCUGGAGUUCUUGGGACUUCCUGUGAAGAGGGCUAGAGGCAGUGGGAGGCUGGUGCUUGGAGUUGGAAGAGCCCCACAGACAGCUUUCCUUCAUAUUGGUCAUGUAAAUCAAGAGGAAAUGGUGAUUGGAACCAAAAGAUUAGAAGUACAACAGUCACUCACAUGCCUGAUCUCCC
This 303-nucleotide long non-coding RNA is filed under the name Monodelphis domestica (gray short-tailed opossum). Its description in RNAcentral is "lncRNA (ENSMODG00000038413.1)". Lineage: Eukaryota; Metazoa; Chordata; Mammalia; Didelphimorphia; Didelphidae. The record is from RNAcentral.